UACGUAGGGGGCAAGCGUUGUCCGGAUUUAUUGGGCGUAAAGAGCGUGUAGGCGGUUUGGUAGGUCCGCUGUGAAAACUCGAGGCUCAACCUCGAGACGCCGGUGGAAACCAUCAGACUAGGGUCCGGAAGAGGAGAGUGGAAUUCCUGGUGUAGCGGUGAAAUGCGCAGAUAUCAGGAAGAACACCCGUGGCUAAGGCGGCUCUCUAGUACGGUACUGACGCUGAGACGCGAAAGCGUGGGGAGCGAACAGG
Molecule: ribosomal RNA, 253 nt
Filed under: uncultured bacterium
Lineage: Bacteria
Description: partial 16S ribosomal RNA
Rfam family: Bacterial small subunit ribosomal RNA
Source: RNAcentral